Molecule: ribosomal RNA, 2630 nt
Filed under: Escherichia coli
Lineage: Bacteria; Pseudomonadati; Pseudomonadota; Gammaproteobacteria; Enterobacterales; Enterobacteriaceae
Description: bacterial LSU rRNA
Rfam family: Bacterial large subunit ribosomal RNA
Source: RNAcentral
ACUAAGCGUACACGGUGGAUGCCCUGGCAGUCAGAGGCGAUGAAGGACGUGCUAAUCUGCGAUAAGCGUCGGUAAGGUGAUAUGAACCGUUAUAACCGGCGAUUUCCGAAUGGGGAAACCCAGUGUGUUUCGACACACUAUCAUUAACUGAAUCCAUAGGUUAAUGAGGCGAACCGGGGGAACUGAAACAUCUAAGUACCCCGAGGAAAAGAAAUCAACCGAGAUUCCCCCAGUAGCGGCGAGCGAACGGGGAGCAGCCCAGAGCCUGAAUCAGUGUGUGUGUUAGUGGAAGCGUCUGGAAAGGCGCGCGAUACAGGGUGACAGCCCCGUACACAAAAAUGCACAUGCUGUGAGCUCGAUGAGUAGGGCGGGACACGUGGUAUCCUGUCUGAAUAUGGGGGGACCAUCCUCCAAGGCUAAAUACUCCUGACUGACCGAUAGUGAACCAGUACCGUGAGGGAAAGGCGAAAAGAACCCCGGCGAGGGGAGUGAAAAAGAACCUGAAACCGUGUACGUACAAGCAGUGGGAGCACGCUUAGGCGUGUGACUGCGUACCUUUUGUAUAAUGGGUCAGCGACUUAUAUUCUGUAGCAAGGUUAACCGAAUAGGGGAGCCGAAGGGAAACCGAGUCUUAACUGGGCGUUAAGUUGCAGGGUAUAGACCCGAAACCCGGUGAUCUAGCCAUGGGCAGGUUGAAGGUUGGGUAACACUAACUGGAGGACCGAACCGACUAAUGUUGAAAAAUUAGCGGAUGACUUGUGGCUGGGGGUGAAAGGCCAAUCAAACCGGGAGAUAGCUGGUUCUCCCCGAAAGCUAUUUAGGUAGCGCCUCGUGAAUUCAUCUCCGGGGGUAGAGCACUGUUUCGGCAAGGGGGUCAUCCCGACUUACCAACCCGAUGCAAACUGCGAAUACCGGAGAAUGUUAUCACGGGAGACACACGGCGGGUGCUAACGUCCGUCGUGAAGAGGGAAACAACCCAGACCGCCAGCUAAGGUCCCAAAGUCAUGGUUAAGUGGGAAACGAUGUGGGAAGGCCCAGACAGCCAGGAUGUUGGCUUAGAAGCAGCCAUCAUUUAAAGAAAGCGUAAUAGCUCACUGGUCGAGUCGGCCUGCGCGGAAGAUGUAACGGGGCUAAACCAUGCACCGAAGCUGCGGCAGCGACGCUUAUGCGUUGUUGGGUAGGGGAGCGUUCUGUAAGCCUGCGAAGGUGUGCUGUGAGGCAUGCUGGAGGUAUCAGAAGUGCGAAUGCUGACAUAAGUAACGAUAAAGCGGGUGAAAAGCCCGCUCGCCGGAAGACCAAGGGUUCCUGUCCAACGUUAAUCGGGGCAGGGUGAGUCGACCCCUAAGGCGAGGCCGAAAGGCGUAGUCGAUGGGAAACAGGUUAAUAUUCCUGUACUUGGUGUUACUGCGAAGGGGGGACGGAGAAGGCUAUGUUGGCCGGGCGACGGUUGUCCCGGUUUAAGCGUGUAGGCUGGUUUUCCAGGCAAAUCCGGAAAAUCAAGGCUGAGGCGUGAUGACGAGGCACUACGGUGCUGAAGCAACAAAUGCCCUGCUUCCAGGAAAAGCCUCUAAGCAUCAGGUAACAUCAAAUCGUACCCCAAACCGACACAGGUGGUCAGGUAGAGAAUACCAAGGCGCUUGAGAGAACUCGGGUGAAGGAACUAGGCAAAAUGGUGCCGUAACUUCGGGAGAAGGCACGCUGAUAUGUAGGUGAAGCGACUUGCUCGUGGAGCUGAAAUCAGUCGAAGAUACCAGCUGGCUGCAACUGUUUAUUAAAAACACAGCACUGUGCAAACACGAAAGUGGACGUAUACGGUGUGACGCCUGCCCGGUGCCGGAAGGUUAAUUGAUGGGGUUAGCNGAAGUGUGGACGCCAGUCUGCAUGGAGCCGACCUUGAAAUACCACCCUUUAAUGUUUGAUGUUCUAACGUUGACCCGUAAUCCGGGUUGCGGACAGUGUCUGGUGGGUAGUUUGACUGGGGCGGUCUCCUCCUAAAGAGUAACGGAGGAGCACGAAGGUUGGCUAAUCCUGGUCGGACAUCAGGAGGUUAGUGCAAUGGCAUAAGCCAGCUUGACUGCGAGCGUGACGGCGCGAGCAGGUGCGAAAGCAGGUCAUAGUGAUCCGGUGGUUCUGAAUGGAAGGGCCAUCGCUCAACGGAUAAAAGGUACUCCGGGGAUAACAGGCUGAUACCGCCCAAGAGUUCAUAUCGACGGCGGUGUUUGGCACCUCGAUGUCGGCUCAUCACAUCCUGGGGCUGAAGUAGGUCCCAAGGGUAUGGCUGUUCGCCAUUUAAAGUGGUACGCGAGCUGGGUUUAGAACGUCGUGAGACAGUUCGGUCCCUAUCUGCCGUGGGCGCUGGAGAACUGAGGGGGGCUGCUCCUAGUACGAGAGGACCGGAGUGGACGCAUCACUGGUGUUCGGGUUGUCAUGCCAAUGGCACUGCCCGGUAGCUAAAUGCGGAAGAGAUAAGUGCUGAAAGCAUCUAAGCACGAAACUUGCCCCGAGAUGAGUUCUCCCUGACUCCUUGAGAGUCCUGAAGGAACGUUGAAGACGACGACGUUGAUAGGCCGGGUGUGUAAGCGCAGCGAUGCGUUGAGCUAACCGGUACUAAUGAACCGUGAGGCUUAACC